This 67-nucleotide transfer RNA is filed under the name Marmota monax (woodchuck). RNAcentral's name for it is "tRNA.Ala". Lineage: Eukaryota; Metazoa; Chordata; Mammalia; Rodentia; Sciuridae. The record is from RNAcentral.
GGUUCUGGCUCACUGGUAGAGUGCUUGCCUAGCACACAUGAGGCACUGGGUUCAAACCUCAGCACCA